RNAcentral lists this ribosomal RNA (305 nucleotides) under uncultured bacterium. Its description in RNAcentral is "partial 16S ribosomal RNA". It matches the Rfam family "Bacterial small subunit ribosomal RNA", at positions 505 to 807 of the family's 1533-position model. The record is from RNAcentral.
ACAGCAGCAGCCGCGGUAAUACGUAGGGCGCAAGCGUUGUCCGGAAUUAUUGGGCGUAAAGAGCUCGUAGGCGGCUUGUCACGUCUGCUGUGAAAUCCCGGGGCUCAACCCCGGGCGUGCAGUGGAUACGGGCUGGCUAGAGGCAGGCAGGGGAGAACGGAAUUCCCGGUGUAGCGGUGAAAUGCGCAGAUAUCGGGAGGAACACCGGUGGCGAGGGCGGUUCUCUGGGCCUGUUCUGACGCUGAGGAGCGAAAGCGUGGGGAGCGAACAGGAUUAGAUACCCGCGUAGUCCCUGUCUCUUAUAC